RNAcentral lists this transfer RNA (73 nucleotides) under Camelus ferus (Wild Bactrian camel). It matches the Rfam family "tRNA". Rfam says of the family: Transfer RNA (tRNA) molecules are approximately 80 nucleotides in length. Their secondary structure includes four short double-helical elements and three loops (D, anti-codon, and T loops). The record is from Rfam by way of RNAcentral. Lineage: Eukaryota; Metazoa; Chordata; Mammalia; Artiodactyla; Camelidae.
GUGGGUAUAGCUCGGCUGUAGAGUGUGUGCCUAGCAUGCAUGAGGUCCUGGGUUCAAUUCCCUAAUACCUCCA